Nicotiana tabacum (common tobacco) is the source of this 2389-nucleotide non-coding RNA. NCBI's taxonomy places the organism in Eukaryota, Viridiplantae, Streptophyta, Magnoliopsida, Solanales, Solanaceae. The record is from RefSeq and is a predicted model, not a curated record.
UGCUCACUCCCCAAAUGUCUAGAAGUCUAGAAACUUCCAUUAAAACAAUUUUACUUAUUAUUAUCCCUUCUUAAAAUAGGAGGUGAGUUGCUGAUUCUUUCUAUUUAUAUCACUUUUAACACUUACUUCCAAAGCUUCUUUUAUCCAUGGUGUCUCUUGUUUACUCAACUGCUUAACGGCAUAAACUACUUUAGAUUUCCAAAAGUCUAAUCCAAACUUCUUUUCCUGAUUUAUACAGAAUCAUAGUACUUGAUCAGUUUACAUCCUUCAUUUUCUUCCCAAAGGGAGUACAAUCUUUUCUACUAUUUUUCACUGCCAAACACUCCCUUAAAUUUUGGAUUGUCCAAGUCAUCCUAACUUCAACUGUUACUGUACGAUAUUAGGUACUUACAACAACAACAACUACUACAAUGAUGGAUCCAUUGUACUCGGUGAAAGAGGAGUACGCCGGAUCAAGUUCGGGAGGUGGCGGCGGUGAGCCACCGCCGCCGGUAAUGACACCACCACAGCCAAUGGAGGGGCUACACGACAUCGGUCCACCACCAUUCCUGACAAAGACAUAUGAAAUGGUGGAUGAUUCAAGCACAGAUCAUGUUGUUUCUUGGAACAGAGGUGGUCAAAGCUUUGUUGUUUGGGAUCCUCAUGCCUUCUCCACUAGUUUACUCCCCAGAUUCUUCAAACACAACAACUUCUCUAGCUUUGUCAGACAGCUAAAUACUUAUACAGAAUUAAGAUAUUCAAAAAAGGUCCUCUCUGAUCUGGAUGUUCAAAUGAUGCUUCCUUCAACUUGUCAGCUGGGAUUUAGAAAGAUUGAUCCAGAGAAAUGGGAAUUUGCAAACGAGGCAUUUCUAAAGGGAAACAAGCAGCUUCUAAGGAAUAUCAGGAGACGAAAAACAACUAAUUCUCAGCUUCUUCCUACAGAACAAGCACUUGGUCCUUGUGUUGAAUUAGGAAGGUUCGGAUUUGACGAAGAAGUUGAUCGAUUGAGGCGCGACAAGCAAGUUUUAAUGAUGGAAUUAAUGAAGCUUAGACAGCAACAACAAAACACUCGAUCUUACCUUCGAUCGUUGGAGGUUAGGUUACAAGGGACAGAGAGGAAGCAACAACAAAUGAUGAAUUUCUUAGCAAGAGCUUUGCAGAAUCCCGAGUUUGUCCAACAGUUGAUCCGACAAAAAGAGAAAAGAAAAGAACUAGAAGAGGCUAUAACUAAGAAAAGGCGACGACCUAUUGAUCAGGGGCCUAGUACAUUAGAUGUUGGAGGAUCAAGCCGUCCCAUAAAAUCAGAGCCUUUGGAAUUCGGAGAGGGUAGUGGAUUCCAAGUAUCCGAACUUGAAGCACUUGCAUUAGAAAUGCAGGGAUUUGGUAGAGCAAGAAGGGACCAACACGAAGAAGAGACGAGAGAAGGGCUCGAGCAAUUUGGCAACACGGAUAGAGAACUCGAUGAGGGAUUCUGGGAAGAGCUAUUUAACGAGGAGGACGUGUCUGGAAAUGAAGAUGGUGAAGAGGAAGAUGUAAAUGUCUUGGCAGAGAGGUUGGGUUUCUUGGAUUCGAGCCCUUAUUAGAAGUCCGUAGACUAAUUUAGUUGGUGCAAUUUUUCAAAAACUCGUUCAUCUGCUGGAUCAUAUAAAAUCUUGUAUGGACCUACAUUGUUUUAUUUACUACUCUUACUAUUUAACUUAUAUUUCUUGACUCUGUGUAGUUGGUUCUGAAGUGUUCAAUGAAGAAAGCAGCUAAAUGGAUCGACUGGCUAAUCUUUGAAUAGAUUUGUGAAGCACUCAAGAGUCGAGUCAGAAAAUCGCUUCUUGGUGUUUCUGGUUACUUUAACAUUCUGAAUUACUGGUUCCCUUCCACUGCCUUUAUUACAUCUCAACUUCUCAGUCUUGUUUUUCUCUGGAAUCCAAAUGCAGGCAUAGGUUAUGAAGAUUUUGGUCAAGUCUAUUGGUCUUUCAAGGUUAUUGUAAAUUCUCGUUUUCGGUGAUAUAUUGCUCAUUAAGUAAUGUUGCAAUAUUUUGUUUAUGUGGUUUUUAGAUUGCUGUCUUGAUGAUGAAGCAGUUAAAAGUAGAAAUGCCAGUUACUCCAGAAUCAAGAUUUUAUUGAAGUGGCCGUUUAUAACUACUUUUGCCGGUAAAGAUUGUUGUUGCCAGUUAGGGGUGUCAAACGAAUGAGUCGGUUCGGUCGGAUAUAGACGGAUAAAAUAUUCGACCCUACCCAUAUUUAAUACAGAUAGAAAAUGGGUUAACCAACGGAUAAUAUGGAUAUCCAUAUUAUUUAUGGCUUCUUGAAUAUAAUCACUUUUGUAUUCAUACUCUUCCAAGCUUGAGGAAUCCCUAAUUUGAGUCCUUACAAAUGUAAAGUUAAAACUAUUGGUUAUCUAUUUUUAAGUGGAUAA